This is a long non-coding RNA of Corvus hawaiiensis (hawaiian crow), 983 nucleotides long. RefSeq lists it as uncharacterized. Lineage: Eukaryota; Metazoa; Chordata; Aves; Passeriformes; Corvidae. The record is from RefSeq and is a predicted model, not a curated record. The transcript has 5 exons.
CUUCAGGAAAUACCCAGCUCCUUCAGCUCCUUUUCACCGAGAUCCUCCAGAGAUUGCAGUGUGAAUAUCUGCUCGGGCAUGGUUCUCUCCAAGGGCUGCAGAAAUAUACCAGCUUCACCAAGGUGUCUCCACCAGCUCCAGUGAAACUUCUGCUCCUGCAUCUGUAGCACCUCUUCCCACUCCUUCUCUGACAUUGAUAUCUACAGGACAUGUUUUCUGCAUUUUAUCAGUUCAUCUCAAAAUGGAGACGGGACCAUACGAUAACACAGAGGGGAGGGUCCUCUGGAGGUUUCUGUUCCACAACCCAGCAUUGUGCACAAAAUCGGUUAAGGACUGCUACUCCAGGCACUUUGGUGGUGGUGCAACUGGCUCCAGCCAGUCUGUCUCCUGAGGAGAACUCAACCAACCAGCUGCGGCGGUCAGCAACCGAAGUUUAGCACGUAGCUUGCAGUCAUGGAGUAAGCCUGCGUGGAACGCAUACGGAGAGUCCCCUCUCUUUACUUCUUUGCCUCUGCUACUGGGCACUUACUCGACCAGCUUAGAGGGAAGCUCCCUCGGGUGAGGAGCUCAGCUCCAUCAGGCUGCUUUACUUGUGGGUGUGGGACUGCCGUAGCAUGGACGGGACCAUGGCUAGACCUCCGGGCCCCUUUUUAGCUAGCAUGCAGAUAUCUGUCACACUUUAUUUUUUGAUGGGUAUUGGUAGUCAUUGUUCGUUGGUAUCAAUGCUGUAAGGAAUAUGGCUUUCUCAAAACAAUAGCAAGAUGGUUUCAAGUGCUCAGGUUUUUCCAGAUAAUUCAGUCAGUACGUUUUCAUGUUGAAUUAUGCUAAUGAUAAUAAAAAACUCAGUUUGAUGGAAUGAAACUGUGAUUUCAACAGUGUGUGUGUGUGUGUGUGUUGUGUGUGCAUGUGCCAUUGCUUGCUCAGAAAAUCAGAUGUUUCAUAGAAUCAUAGAAUAUCCGGAGCUGAAAGGGACCCACAAAGAA